CCUACGGGCGGCAGCAGUGGGGAAUAUUGGGCAAUGGAGGCAACUCUGACCCAGCAACGCCGCGUGAAUGAUGACGGUCUUCGGAUUGUAAAGUUCUUUUCUUAGGGAAGAAGAAAGUGACGGUACCUUAGGAUUAAGCCUAGGCUAACUACGUGCCAGCAGCCGCGGUAAUACGUAGGAGGCAAGCGUUCUCCGGAAUGACUGGGCGUAAAGGGUGCGUAGGUGGUUUGACAAGUUAGUAGCGAAACUCCGGAGCUAAACUUCGGAACUACAACUAAAACUGUUGGACUUGGGUGCAGGAGGGGCAAUCGGAAUUGCUGGGGUAGCGGUGGAAUGCGUAGAUAUUAGGAGGAACACCAGUGGCGAAGGCGGAUUGCAAGACUGUAACUGACACUGAGGCACGAAAGCGUGGGGAGCAAACAGGAUUAGAUACCGAGUAGUC
Molecule: ribosomal RNA, 442 nt
Filed under: uncultured bacterium
Lineage: Bacteria
Description: partial 16S ribosomal RNA
Rfam family: Bacterial small subunit ribosomal RNA
Source: RNAcentral